AUACGUAGGUGGCAAGCGUUGUCCGGAAUUAUUGGGCGUAAAGCGCGCGCAGGUGGUUCCUUAAGUCUGAUGUGAAAGCCCCCGGCUCAACCGGGGAGGGUCAUUGGAAACUGGGGAACUUGAGUGCAGAAGAGGAUAGUGGAAUUCCAAGUGUAGCGGUGAAAUGCGUAGAGAUUUGGAGGAACACCAGUGGCGAAGGCGACUGUCUGGUCUGUAACUGACACUGAGGCGCGAAAGCGUGGGGAGCAAACAGGAUUAGAUACCCUGGUAGUCCGCGCCGUAAACGAUGAGUGCUAAGUGUUGGGGGGUUUCCGCCCCUCAGUGCUGCAGCUAACGCAUUAAGCACUCCGCCUGGGGAGUACGGUCGCAAGACUGAAACUCAAAUGAAUUGACGGGG
This 397-nucleotide ribosomal RNA is filed under the name uncultured bacterium. RNAcentral's name for it is "partial 16S ribosomal RNA". It matches the Rfam family "Bacterial small subunit ribosomal RNA", at positions 523 to 918 of the family's 1533-position model. The record is from RNAcentral.